RNAcentral lists this ribosomal RNA (660 nucleotides) under Pediococcus argentinicus. RNAcentral describes it as "bacterial SSU rRNA". It matches the Rfam family "Bacterial small subunit ribosomal RNA", at positions 60 to 675 of the family's 1533-position model. Lineage: Bacteria; Bacillati; Bacillota; Bacilli; Lactobacillales; Lactobacillaceae. The record is from RNAcentral.
AGUCGAACGCACUUCCGUCGAAUGAUUUCAAGGUGCUUGCACCGCGAAUGAAAAUGACAUGAAGUGAGUGGCGAACGGGUGAGUAACACGUGGGUAACCUGCCCAGAAGUAGGGGAUAACACCUGGAAACAGAUGCUAAUACCGUAUAAUAGAGAAAACCGCAUGGUUUUCCUUUGAAAGAUGGCUCUGCUAUCACUUCUGGAUGGACCCGCGGCGUAUUAGCUAGUUGGUGAGGUAACGGCUCACCAAGGCAGUGAUACGUAGCCGACCUGAGAGGGUAAUCGGCCACAUUGGGACUGAGACACGGCCCAGACUCCUACGGGAGGCAGCAGUAGGGAAUCUUCCACAAUGGACGAAAGUCUGAUGGAGCAACGCCGCGUGAGUGAAGAAGGGUUUCGGCUCGUAAAGCUCUGUUGUUAAAGAAGAACGUGGGUAAGAGUAACUGUUUACCCAGUGACGGUAUUUAACCAGAAAGCCACGGCUAACUACGUGCCAGCAGCCGCGGUAAUACGUAGGUGGCAAGCGUUAUCCGGAUUUAUUGGGCGUAAAGCGAGCGCAGGCGGUUUCUUAAGUCUAAUGUGAAAGCCUUCGGCUCAACCGAAGAAGUGCAUUGGAAACUGGGAAACUUGAGUGCAGAAGAGGAUAGUGGAACUCCAUGUG